GGUUAAGCGACUAAGCGUACACGGUGGAUGCCCUGGCAGUCAGAGGCGAUGAAGGACGUGCUAAUCUGCGAUAAGCGCCGGUAAGGUGAUAUGAACCGUUAUAACCGGCGAUUUCCGAAUGGGGAAACCCAGUGUGACUCGUCACACUAUCAUUAACUGAAUCCAUAGGUUAAUGAGGCGAACCGGGGGAACUGAAACAUCUAAGUACCCCGAGGAAAAGAAAUCAACCGAGAUUCCCCCAGUAGCGGCGAGCGAACGGGGAGGAGCCCAGAGCCUGAAUCAGCAUGUGUGUUAGUGGAAGCGUCUGGAAAGGCGCGCGAUACAGGGUGACAGCCCCGUACACAAAAGCGCAUGUGCUGUGAGCUCGAUGAGUAGGGCGGGACACGUGGUAUCCUGUCUGAAUAUGGGGGGACCAUCCUCCAAGGCUAAAUACUCCUGACUGACCGAUAGUGAACCAGUACCGUGAGGGAAAGGCGAAAAGAACCCCGGCGAGGGGAGUGAAAAAGAACCUGAAACCGUGUACGUACAAGCAGUGGGAGCACCCUUUGGGGUGUGACUGCGUACCUUUUGUAUAAUGGGUCAGCGACUUAUAUUCUGUAGCAAGGUUAACCGAAUAGGGGAGCCGCAGGGAAACCGAGUCUUAAUUGGGCGUUAAGUUGCAGGGUAUAGACCCGAAACCCGGUGAUCUAGCCAUGGGCAGGUUGAAGGUUGGGUAACACUAACUGGAGGACCGAACCGACUAAUGUUGAAAAAUUAGCGGAUGACCUGUGGCUGGGGGUGAAAGGCCAAUCAAACCGGGAGAUAGCUGGUUCUCCCCGAAAGCUAUUUAGGUAGCGCCUCGUGAAUUCAUCUCCGGGGGUAGAGCACUGUUUCGGCUAGGGGGCCAUCCCGGCUUACCAACCCGAUGCAAACUGCGAAUACCGGAGAAUGUUAUCACGGGAGACACACGGCGGGUGCUAACGUCCGUCGUGAAGAGGGAAACAACCCAGACCGCCAGCUAAGGUCCCAAAGUCAUGGUUAAGUGGGAAACGAUGUGGGAAGGCCCAGACAGCCAGGAUGUUGGCUUAGAAGCAGCCAUCAUUUAAAGAAAGCGUAAUAGCUCACUGGUCGAGUCGGCCUGCGCGGAAGAUGUAACGGGGCUAAACCAUGCACCGAAGCUGCGGCAGCGACACUGAUGCGUUGUUGGGUAGGGGAGCGUUCUGUAAGCCUGUGAAGGUGGCCUGUGAGGGUUGCUGGAGGUAUCAGAAGUGCGAAUGCUGACAUAAGUAACGAUAAAGCGGGUGAAAAGCCCGCUCGCCGGAAGACCAAGGGUUCCUGUCCAACGUUAAUCGGGGCAGGGUGAGUCGACCCCUAAGGCGAGGCCGAAAGGCGUAGUCGAUGGGAAACGGGUUAAUAUUCCCGUACUUGGUGUUACUGCGAAGGGGGGACGGAGAAGGCUAUGUUGGCCGGGCGACGGUUGUCCCGGUUUAAGCGUGUAGGUGUGUGUUCCAGGUAAAUCCGGUUCACUUUAACACUGAGGCGUGAUGACGAGGCACUACGGUGCUGAAGCAACAAAUGCCCUGCUUCCAGGAAAAGCCUCUAAGCAUCAGGUAACAUCAAAUCGUACCCCAAACCGACACAGGUGGUCAGGUAGAGAAUACCAAGGCGCUUGAGAGAACUCGGGUGAAGGAACUAGGCAAAAUGGUGCCGUAACUUCGGGAGAAGGCACGCUGACACGUAGGUGAAGUGAUUUACUCACGGAGCUGAAGUCAGUCGAAGAUACCAGCUGGCUGCAACUGUUUAUUAAAAACACAGCACUGUGCAAACACGAAAGUGGACGUAUACGGUGUGACGCCUGCCCGGUGCCGGAAGGUUAAUUGAUGGGGUCAGCGCAAGCGAAGCUCCUGAUCGAAGCCCCGGUAAACGGCGGCCGUAACUAUAACGGUCCUAAGGUAGCGAAAUUCCUUGUCGGGUAAGUUCCGACCUGCACGAAUGGCGUAAUGAUGGCCAGGCUGUCUCCACCCGAGACUCAGUGAAAUUGAACUCGCUGUGAAGAUGCAGUGUACCCGCGGCAAGACGGAAAGACCCCGUGAACCUUUACUAUAGCUUGACACUGAACAUUGAGCCUUGAUGUGUAGGAUAGGUGGGAGGCUUUGAAGUGUGGACGCCAGUCUGCAUGGAGCCGACCUUGAAAUACCACCCUUUAAUGUUUGAUGUUCUAACGUGGACCCGUAAUCCGGGUUGCGGACAGUGUCUGGUGGGUAGUUUGACUGGGGCGGUCUCCUCCUAAAGAGUAACGGAGGAGCACGAAGGUUGGCUAAUCCUGGUCGGACAUCAGGAGGUUAGUGCAAUGGCAUAAGCCAGCUUGACUGCGAGCGUGACGGCGCGAGCAGGUGCGAAAGCAGGUCAUAGUGAUCCGGUGGUUCUGAAUGGAAGGGCCAUCGCUCAACGGAUAAAAGGUACUCCGGGGAUAACAGGCUGAUACCGCCCAAGAGUUCAUAUCGACGGCGGUGUUUGGCACCUCGAUGUCGGCUCAUCACAUCCUGGGGCUGAAGUAGGUCCCAAGGGUAUGGCUGUUCGCCAUUUAAAGUGGUACGCGAGCUGGGUUUAGAACGUCGUGAGACAGUUCGGUCCCUAUCUGCCGUGGGCGCUGGAGAACUGAGGGGGGCUGCUCCUAGUACGAGAGGACCGGAGUGGACGCAUCACUGGUGUUCGGGUUGUCAUGCCAAUGGCACUGCCCGGUAGCUAAAUGCGGAAGAGAUAAGUGCUGAAAGCAUCUAAGCACGAAACUUGCCCCGAGAUGAGUUCUCCCUGAGACUUAGAGUCUCCUGAAGGAACGUUGAAGACGACGACGUUGAUAGGCCGGGUGUGUAAGCGCAGCGAUGCGUUGAGCUAACCGGUACUAAUGAACCGUGAGGCUUAACCUU
RNAcentral lists this ribosomal RNA (2906 nucleotides) under Salmonella enterica subsp. enterica. Its description in RNAcentral is "23S ribosomal RNA". It matches the Rfam family "Bacterial large subunit ribosomal RNA". Lineage: Bacteria; Pseudomonadati; Pseudomonadota; Gammaproteobacteria; Enterobacterales; Enterobacteriaceae. The record is from RNAcentral.